GAUGAAGAACGGUAGCGAAAUGCGAUAAGUAGUGUGAAUUGCAGAAUUCAGUGAAUCAUCGAAUCUUUGAACGCACAUUGCGCCCCUUGGUAUCCCGAGGGGCAUGCCUGUUCGAGCGUCAUUUCACCACUCAAGCCUGGCUUGGUGUUGGGCGACGUCCUCUUUGGGGACGCGCCUCGAAACGCUCGGCGGCGUGGCACCGGCUUUAAGCGUAGCAGAAUCUUUCGCUUUGGAAGUCGGGGCCCCGUCUGCCGGAAGACCUGCUCGCAAGGUUGACCUCGGAUCAGGCAGGGAUACCCGCUGAACUUAAGCAUAUCAAUAAGCGGAGGA
This 330-nucleotide unclassified non-coding RNA is filed under the name soil metagenome. RNAcentral describes it as "partial contains 5.8S ribosomal RNA, internal transcribed spacer 2, and large subunit ribosomal RNA". The stretch from base 1 to 121 matches the Rfam family "5.8S ribosomal RNA", at positions 35 to 154 of the family's 154-position model. The record is from RNAcentral.